Small nucleolar RNA from Ictidomys tridecemlineatus (thirteen-lined ground squirrel), 130 nucleotides. The record is from Ensembl. Lineage: Eukaryota; Metazoa; Chordata; Mammalia; Rodentia; Sciuridae.
AGCCUCAUUCUAGAUGAGAAUGCUCACUGUUGAUUAGUGUCCAAAGUUGGUCAAUGUGGCUAAACUGACACAGUUUCUGCGUUCACCACAGUGUAUGUAUUGCAGUGGUGACAGUGAGACUGUAAUAUUU